GAGAGAGAGAGAGAGAGAGAGAGAGUAUGUGUGUCCAGCAAUGGUGAUUUAAAAGCACUAAGCAUUUGGUGUUUGCAAGUUUUCCACCGUUAGAUUUAUAUCCUUUUGAUCAAUUGCACCCCUUAGAUCACGCUAUUCCACAAACCACCCACUCAACCUUACGGACCACUAUUAUCCUAACUUUACAAAUCUUCAUUCAAAGGUGGAAAUCCCACAAGCUACU
RNAcentral lists this long non-coding RNA (223 nucleotides) under Ananas comosus (pineapple). Its description in RNAcentral is "long non-coding RNA (ACOM_LNC021059)". Lineage: Eukaryota; Viridiplantae; Streptophyta; Magnoliopsida; Poales; Bromeliaceae. The record is from RNAcentral.